CUCAAAGGAAAGGAUGAGGAAUUCGAUCUAGUAAAGUGCUUAUCAGCAGUUUUAUUUAUGCUGUUUAUGUGGGAAUAGGCAUUGUUUCCUACAAAUCAUCCAUAACAAUGUUAAGUUAAUGAUACAAACUCAAGUUUACUUUCUGGGUUUUGCUGGACAAGGGAAUAUCUCAGAAGCAGAGUUUAAUCACUGUGGCAGAAGGGGCUCUUUCAGAAGAGCACGUCCACCCUGGGAACACGCAGCCUCUGCACACUGCAGAGCGGAAGGAGGAGGGCAAGCCCCACUCUCCAGAAGCACAGCGAGCUCCUUAUGUCCUCGAAGAGCUCAGAAGAUGCUGAGCAGAUGAAACACUGUCCUGCUGGUCACAGACCUCAGCUGGAGCCUGUUGUUAGGGUCAGCAAAAAUGCACCAAGAGGUUUGAAGGGUUAAAGGUGAUCCUGAACAGGAAAGAUGUUUGCUCCCUCCUUCCCACCCCACCUUUAAAAUGCUGUGAAGGUCAUGGUUUGGGGUUUAAGAUGCUUCACUGGAGUCUACAGAGGGUUAGCAGUGGCCAUCCCAUAGCAGCACUGCCUGAUGUGGAGGACUUCAGAAGAGGCUGAUGUGGAGGACUUCACUGAGUCACUGUGUUGGAGAUGCCUUUAACCAGACACACACAGCUACCUGCACAGCUCCUGCAUGUGCACAGAGAAACAAGACAGCAGGUUUUGAGGAACCCUGAAGCUAGAAGGUACAGUUCAUUUUAUAUUUGGAUAGAGCUAUCAUACUAGCGCUGUGCUGGAACUCAUCAAUGGAGCAAUAAAGUAAUCACACGCACCUCUCCACUACCAGUUUCAUUUGAACUUUCUGUCAUUUCCCCUCCUUCCCUUCCUCUGAAGUUCUGCCUCUGCCAGUAUUUCCUGUUUCUGGUAAGUACCAAAGCAUUUUUCAGACAAGCUCACUAACAUGCAAGUUGUGCUCCAUUUUGGUUUCCUCCAGUUGGUUGAGUAUAUUUGAUUCCCACUUGACAUCAACCUCCUUCCUUAGAG
This is a long non-coding RNA of Gallus gallus (chicken), 1025 nucleotides long. The record is from Ensembl. NCBI's taxonomy places the organism in Eukaryota, Metazoa, Chordata, Aves, Galliformes, Phasianidae.